ACGGCUCAGUAACACGUAGUCAACAUACCCAGAGGACGUGGAUAACCUCGGGAAACUGAGUCUAAACCGCGAUAGGUCAAGAUUCCUGGAAUGGUUCCUGAUCGAAAUCUAUAUGGCCUUUGGAUUGGACUGCGGCCGAUCAGGCUGUUGGUGAGGUAAUGGCCCACCAAACCUGUAACCGGUACGGGCUCUGAGAGGAGGAGCCCGGAGAUGGGCACUGAGACAAGGGCCCAGGCCCUAUGGGGCGCAGCAGGCGCGAAACCUCUGCAAUAGGCGAAAGCCUGACAGGGUUACUCUGAGUGACUUUCGUUAAGAGAGUCUUUUGGCACCUCUAAAAAGGGUGUAGAAUAAGGGGUGGGCAAGUCUGGUGUCAGCCGCCGCGGUAAUACCAGCACCCCGAGUGGUCGGGACGAUUAUUGGGCCUAAAGCAUCCGUAGCCGGUUCUGCAAGUCCUCCGUUAAAUCCAACUGCUUAACAGAUGGGCCGCGGAGGAUACUACAGAGCUAGGAGGCAGGAGAGGCAAGCGGUACUCAGUGGGUAGGGGUAAAAUCCGUUGAUCCAUUGAAGACCACCAGUGGCGAAGGCGGCUUGCCAGAAUGCGCUCGACGGUGAGGGAUGAAAGCUGGGGGAGCAAACCGGAUUAGAUACCCGGGUAGUCCCAGCCGUAAACGAUGCAGACUCGGUGAUGGGUUGGCUUCGUGCUAACCCAGUGCCGCAGGGAAGCCGUUAAGUCUGCCGCCUGGGUAGUACGGUCGCAAGACUGAAACUUAAAGGAAUUGGCGGGGGAGCACCACAAGGGGUGAAGCCUGCGGUUCAAUUGGAUUCAACGCCGGGACG
Molecule: ribosomal RNA, 837 nt
Filed under: uncultured archaeon
Lineage: Archaea
Description: bacterial SSU rRNA
Rfam family: Archaeal small subunit ribosomal RNA
Source: RNAcentral